GCCACGUCCACAGGAAAUCAAAUAUUAAAACUGCUAAAUUACUAAAUUGUGUAGGCACAUAGUUAAAUCACCUGGGUGGAAGUAAAGUCCACAGCAAGUGGAGGAGAUGCUACGCACCCACUGCUGCCUGCUGGUCUCCUUUUCAAAGAGGUUCCUACAUCUGUUAAGCUUAUGGCUUCAGGUGAUGCCUGGGAGCUUGAUCUUAUGGUGCACACCUGCAACCUGUUCUGCUGUCCUAGUGGUUUUAAGGAACAAUCAGCAGUUUUAGUUCUUUACACCAGCUGUAGGGUCCUAUGCUGGGAGGAACAAUUUUAGCCAGAUUUAGGCACCCUGCCUAGUUUUGAGUGACUUACAGGGACUUUGGGUUUGGGAAAAUUCUGGAAGGGGUAUGAGCAUGCUGGAGUGAGUGCAGCACGAGGCUGGAGAGCUUUCUGCUACCUAAGUACAUGGCAGCUUGAGCCAGGUAUGAAUGGUGACUUUCUUAGGCUAGUGUCACUUGGACUUUUGCCAUUGAUUUCUGUGCAG
This is a non-coding RNA of Meleagris gallopavo (turkey), 525 nucleotides long. NCBI's taxonomy places the organism in Eukaryota, Metazoa, Chordata, Aves, Galliformes, Phasianidae. The record is from RefSeq and is a predicted model, not a curated record.